UUCUGGUUGAUCCUGCCGGACCUGACUGCUAUCGGAUUGAUACUAAGCCAUGCGAGUCUUUGCAGUAAUGCAAGGCAUACGGCUCAGUAACACGUAGUCAACUUACCCUAUGGACGAGGAUAAUCUCGGGAAACUGAGCAUAAUACUCGAUAGAUCAUAAUGCCUGGAAUGGUUUAUGGUUGAAAUGAUUCGUCGCCAUAGGAUGGGACUGCGGCCUAUCAGCUUGUUGGUGAGGUAAUGGCCCACCAAGGCGAUUACAGGUACGGGCUCUGAGAGGAGAAGCCCGGAGAUGGGUACUGAGACAAGGACCCAGGCCCUAUGGGGCGCAGCAGGCGAGAAAACUUUGCAAUGUGCGAAAGCACGACAAGGUUAAUCCGAGUGAUUUCUGCUAAAGAAAUCUUUUUGCAAG
Molecule: ribosomal RNA, 409 nt
Filed under: uncultured marine group I thaumarchaeote
Lineage: Archaea; Thermoproteati; Nitrososphaerota
Description: bacterial SSU rRNA
Rfam family: Archaeal small subunit ribosomal RNA
Source: RNAcentral